CUAGCGGCGAACGGGUGCUUAACACGUGGGCAAUCUGCCGAGAAGUGGGGGAUAGCUCGCCGAAAGGCGAAUUAAUACCGCAUGUGAUUAGAGUGGACAUCCAUUCAAAAUCAAAGUCGGGGCAACCUGACGCUUCUUGAGGAGCCCGCGGCCUAUCAGCUAGUUGGUGAGGUAACGGCCCGCCAAGGCUUUGACGGGUAGCUGGUCUGAGAGGACGACCAGCCACACUGGGACUGAGACACGGCCCAGACACCUACGGGUGGCAGCAGUCGAGAAUUUUUCUCAAUGGGGGAAACCCUGAAGGAGCGACGCCGCGUGGAGGAUGAAGGUCUUCGGGUUGUAAACUCCUGUCAUUUGGGAACAAUGCGCAAAUAUUAACUGUAUUUGCGUUGAUAGUACCAGAAGAGGAAGAGACGGCUAACUCUGUGCCAGCAGCCGCGGUAAUACAGAGGUCUCAAGCGUUGUUCGGAUUCAUUGGGCGUAAAGGGUGCGUA
This 494-nucleotide ribosomal RNA is filed under the name uncultured bacterium. RNAcentral's name for it is "bacterial SSU rRNA". It matches the Rfam family "Bacterial small subunit ribosomal RNA", at positions 92 to 573 of the family's 1533-position model. The record is from RNAcentral.